Molecule: ribosomal RNA, 333 nt
Filed under: Triticum aestivum (bread wheat)
Lineage: Eukaryota; Viridiplantae; Streptophyta; Magnoliopsida; Poales; Poaceae
Description: partial small subunit ribosomal RNA
Source: RNAcentral
AUGGCGAUGGAGACGCCCGGGCAGGAAGGGCUCGAUCCGGAUGAACCAGCUCGCACCGAGCCCGGCCGCCUCAACAGGAGCUCGUAUCUCUGCCUGCCAGCGGCUCACCGGAGCCGCCACUGCCGGCGACUGCCUCCCUCACCUUGUGCCCCUCCUCCUUCGCCUUUCUUCCUCUCUUCCCCGAGGAGCGGGGAGCCGGCGAAUCCAUCGGUCAGGAGCUGGGCGGCGCCCUCCAUCAUCGCCGUUGUUUGGGGAGGGACGCGGUCCUGGUCGAUGCGGUAUGGGGCGGGCGACGCGGGGCAGGAGGUGGCGGCGGGAUGGAGGUACAUGUGA